Molecule: ribosomal RNA, 579 nt
Filed under: uncultured bacterium
Lineage: Bacteria
Description: bacterial SSU rRNA
Rfam family: Bacterial small subunit ribosomal RNA
Source: RNAcentral
CCUACGGGAGGCAGCAGUAGGGAAUAUUGGGCAAUGGAGGCAACUCUGACCCAGCCAUGCCGCGUGCAGGAUGAAGGCGUUAUGCGUUGUAAACUGCUUUUAUAUAGGAAGAAAGAGUUCUUGCGAGAACAGUUGACGGUACUAUAUGAAUAAGCACCGGCUAACUCCGUGCCAGCAGCCGCGGUAAUACGGAGGGUGCAAGCGUUGUCCGGAUUUAUUGGGUUUAAAGGGUGCGUAGGCGGUUUAUUAAGUCAGUGGUGAAAGACGGUCGCUCAACGAUUGCAGUGCCAUUGAUACUGGUAGACUUGAGUGAGAUUGAGGUAGCUGGAAUGGAUAGUGUAGCGGUGAAAUGCAUAGAUAUUAUCCAGAACACCAAUUGCGUAGGCAAGUUACUAAGUCUCAACUGACGCUGAGGCACGAAAGUGUGGGUAUCAAACAGGAUUAGAUACCCUGGUAGUCCACACUGUAAACGAUGAUAACUAACUGUUGGCUUUCGGGUCAGUGGUACAGAGAAAUCGUUAAGUUAUCCAACCUGGGGAGUUAGCGGCAACGGUUGAAACGUUCAAAUUGAAUUGACGG